GACGUCUCGAGAUAAAGUCGAUAUCUCCGAAGUUCUAUGACACUACUGAUAAGAGAAUCGCAUAUAAAACACUUCAGAGCCGUGUUUCGACCCCUAAAGUGCAGAGAAAGAGAAAGGAGUCAGGAUAACUUUCGGGCGAAAUGUACCAGGGCGCGGAUGUCACCGGUCGCGCGGCGAGUAAGAGAACGAUUAUCGCGCUCAGGAGAGCCGCCAGGUGCAUUGUUCGUUCACGGCCACGGAUUUGGAAAACGACAGGCGGAACACGUGCGUAUGUUACACUUCGGAGUCGAACGCCUCGUGGCACUACAAACGACGACCUGUUCGUUCUGCGAGUACGUUGUCUCCCGACUCAACGAAUAAGAUGUAUGACGAAACGCGACAAACGCUCAUCCACGAAGAUUAGAGAAAGAAUCAAGUCGUGCGUGGUGGGGGUGAUCCAAAAACUAUCUGUGCAAUUCCUCCGCAACUGAUACUACUAUUUACGAGAGUUAAUACACUACUGUCAUUGCAUUUUGUUUUGUACAUAUAUACCAGUCGGAGUAAUCAGCUGAUUUCAAUGUCGCGCACAUGCGCCGGUGGAGAGGGAGAGGCUCGCGAUCGGCAACGGCCAAUCGGAGCACGGACGAACACAACAUGUCUCACAUAAAGCGUAUAACACGCUUUCGUAAGUGGACGCAACAAAAUAUUAUUGCGUCCUCCUGCAUUUGCAUAUUUGCAAUAUUGAAUAAUAUAUUUCUGAAACUAAUUUAAGUUGAAGUUAAUGGCUAAUAAAAUUAAUUUAGUUACGUUAAAAGUCACAUGAACGAGAAACUCAGGUGCAUUAAGAUUAAGUUAAAAAUUAGCUUUAACUCUUUAUCUUUUUUUAAUUCUUAGAUUUUUCUUUUUUAGAGAAAAUUUACAUUCGCUUCGUUUGGACGAAAUAAAAAUGAAAAAAACGCAUAAAGACAUAAAUGAAAUAAACAGAUUAAUAAUAGAUCAUAUUUCUAUAGCCGAUUUCACUUGUAUCAAUUGGUUAGGAUUGCGUCGAAAAUAAAUAAGUUCGAGCAUAAGCAUAAAAA
This is a long non-coding RNA of Monomorium pharaonis (pharaoh ant), 1058 nucleotides long. RefSeq lists it as uncharacterized. The transcript is spliced from 2 exons. The record is from RefSeq and is a predicted model, not a curated record. NCBI's taxonomy places the organism in Eukaryota, Metazoa, Arthropoda, Insecta, Hymenoptera, Formicidae.